GAAUCGUCACACUAUCAUUAACUGAAUCCAUAGGUUAAUGAGGCGAACCGGGGGAACUGAAACAUCUAAGUACCCCGAGGAAAAGAAAUCAACCGAGAUUCCCCCAGUAGCGGCGAGCGAACGGGGAGGAGCCCAGAGCCUGAAUCAGCAUGUGUGUUAGUGGAAGCGUCUGGAAAGGCGCGCGAUACAGGGUGACAGCCCCGUACACAAAAGCGCAUGUGCUGUGAGCUCGAUGAGUAGGGCGGGACACGUGGUAUCCUGUCUGAAUAUGGGGGGACCAUCCUCCAAGGCUAAAUACUCCUGACUGACCGAUAGUGAACCAGUACCGUGAGGGAAAGGCGAAAAGAACCCCGGCGAGGGGAGUGAAAAAGAACCUGAAACCGUGUACGUACAAGCAGUGGGAGCACCCUUUGGGGUGUGACUGCGUACCUUUUGUAUAAUGGGUCAGCGACUUAUAUUCUGUAGCAAGGUUAACCGUAUAGGGGAGCCGGAGGGAAACCGAGUCUUAACCGGGCGUUAAGUUGCAGGGUAUAGACCCGAAACCCGGUGAUCUAGCCAUGGGCAGGUUGAAGGUUGGGUAACACUAACUGGAGGACCGAACCGACUAAUGUUGAAAAAUUAGCGGAUGACCUGUGGCUGGGGGUGAAAGGCCAAUCAAACCGGGAGAUAGCUGGUUCUCCCCGAAAGCUAUUUAGGUAGCGCCUCGUGAAUUCAUCUCCGGGGGUAGAGCACUGUUUCGGCUAGGGGGCCAUCCCGGCUUACCAACCCGAUGCAAACUGCGAAUACCGGAGAAUGUUAUCACGGGAGACACACGGCGGGUGCUAACGUCCGUCGUGAAGAGGGAAACAACCCAGACCGCCAGCUAAGGUCCCAAAGUCAUGGUUAAGUGGGAAACGAUGUGGGAAGGCCCAGACAGCCAGGAUGUUGGCUUAGAAGCAGCCAUCAUUUAAAGAAAGCGUAAUAGCUCACUGGUCGAGUCGGCCUGCGCGGAAGAUGUAACGGGGCUAAACCAUGCACCGAAGCUGCGGCAGCGACGCUGAUGCGUUGUUGGGUAGGGGAGCGGACGAGGCACUACGGUGCUGAAGCAACAAAUGCCCUGCUUCCAGGAAAAGCCUCUAAGCAUCAGGUAACAUCAAAUCGUACCCCAAACCGACACAGGUGGUCAGGUAGAGAAUACCAAGGCGCUUGAGAGAACUCGGGUGAAGGAACUAGGCAAAAUGGUGCCGUAACUUCGGGAGAAGGCACGCUGACACGUAGGUGAAGUGAUUUACUCAUGGAGCUGAAGUCAGUCGAAGAUACCAGCUGGCUGCAACUGUUUAUUAAAAACACAGCACUGUGCAAACACGAAAGUGGACGUAUACGGUGUGACGCCUGCCCGGUGCCGGAAGGUUAAUUGAUGGGGUCAGCGCAAGCGAAGCUCCUGAUCGAAGCCCCGGUAAACGGCGGCCGUAACUAUAACGGUCCUAAGGUAGCGAAAUUCCUUGUCGGGUAAGUUCCGACCUGCACGAAUGGCGUAAUGAUGGCCAGGCUGUCUCCACCCGAGACUCAGUGAAAUUGAACUCGCUGUGAAGAUGCAGUGUACCCGCGGCAAGACGGAAAGACCCCGUGAACCUUUACUAUAGCUUGACACUGAACAUUGAGCCUUGAUGUGUAGGAUAGGUGGGAGGCUUUGAAGUGUGGACGCCAGUCUGCAUGGAGCCGACCUUGAAAUACCACCCUUUAAUGUUUGAUGUUCUAACGUGGACCCGUGAUCCGGGUUGCGGACAGUGUCUGGUGGGUAGUUUGACUGGGGCGGUCUCCUCCUAAAGAGUAACGGAGGAGCACGAAGGUUGGCUAAUCCUGGUCGGACAUCAGGAGGUUAGUGCAAUGGCAUAAGCCAGCUUGACUGCGAGCGUGACGGCGCGAGCAGGUGCGAAAGCAGGUCAUAGUGAUCCGGUGGUUCUGAAUGGAAGGGCCAUCGCUCAACGGAUAAAAGGUACUCCGGGGAUAACAGGCUGAUACCGCCCAAGAGUUCAUAUCGACGGCGGUGUUUGGCACCUCGAUGUCGGCUCAUCACAUCCUGGGGCUGAAGUAGGUCCCAAGGGUAUGGCUGUUCGCCAUUUAAAGUGGUACGCGAGCUGGGUUUAGAACGUCGUGAGACAGUUCGGUCCCUAUCUGCCGUGGGCGCUGGAGAACUGAGGGGGGCUGCUCCUAGUACGAGAGGACCGGAGUGGACGCAUCACUGGUGUUCGGGUUGUCAUGCCAAUGGCACUGCCCGGUAGCUAAAUGCGGAAGAGAUAAGUGCUGAAAGCAUCUAAGCACGAAACUUGCCCCGAGAUGAGUUCUCCCUGAGACUU
Molecule: ribosomal RNA, 2336 nt
Filed under: Salmonella enterica subsp. enterica serovar Dublin
Lineage: Bacteria; Pseudomonadati; Pseudomonadota; Gammaproteobacteria; Enterobacterales; Enterobacteriaceae
Description: bacterial LSU rRNA
Rfam family: Bacterial large subunit ribosomal RNA
Source: RNAcentral